UGACCAAAGACAAAGACAAGCACAUUUGCCUGCUAGGCAAACAAAGCCAGCAGGAGAGCAAGUGGGGAGGAAAAAAGGUAGAGCAUGUAACAGGGU
Chelonoidis abingdonii (Abingdon island giant tortoise) is the source of this 96-nucleotide non-coding RNA. The record is from RefSeq and is a predicted model, not a curated record. NCBI's taxonomy places the organism in Eukaryota, Metazoa, Chordata, Testudines, Testudinidae.